Molecule: ribosomal RNA, 490 nt
Filed under: uncultured bacterium
Lineage: Bacteria
Description: partial 16S ribosomal RNA
Rfam family: Bacterial small subunit ribosomal RNA
Source: RNAcentral
AUUGAACGCUGGCGGCAGGCCUAACACAUGCAAGUCGAACGGUAACAGGAAGCAGCUUGCUGCUUUGCUGACGAGUGGCGGACGGGUGAGUAAUGUCUGGGAAACUGCCCGAUGGAGGGGGAUAACUACUGGAAACGGUAGCUAAUACCGCAUAACGUCGCAAGACCAAAGAGGGGGACCUUAGGGCCUCUUGCCAUCGGAUGUGCCCAGAUGGGAUUAGCUAGUAGGUGGGGUAACGGCUCACCUAGGCGACGAUCCCUAGCUGGUCUGAGAGGAUGACAGCCCCAACGGGACCGGAGACCCGGCCCAGCCCCCUACGGGGGCCAGCGGGGGGGAAUAUUGCACAAUGGGCGAAAGCCUGCUGCAGCCAUGCGGUGUUUAUAAAGAAGGCCUUGGGUUUGAAAAGUUCUUUCGGGGGGGAGGAAGGGAGAAAAUUAAAUCCCUUCGCUCAUUGACGUUCCCCAAAGAAAAAGCCCCGGCUACCCCCGGG